Molecule: transfer RNA, 77 nt
Filed under: Sinimarinibacterium arenosum
Lineage: Bacteria; Pseudomonadati; Pseudomonadota; Gammaproteobacteria; Nevskiales; Nevskiaceae
Also listed under: 1 other name
Description: Sinimarinibacterium sp. CAU 1509 tRNA-Pro
Rfam family: tRNA
About the family: Transfer RNA (tRNA) molecules are approximately 80 nucleotides in length. Their secondary structure includes four short double-helical elements and three loops (D, anti-codon, and T loops). Further hydrogen bonds mediate the characteristic L-shaped molecular structure. tRNAs have two regions of fundamental functional importance: the anti-codon, which is responsible for specific mRNA codon recognition, and the 3' end, to which the tRNAs corresponding amino acid is attached (by aminoacyl-tRNA synthetases). tRNAs cope with the degeneracy of the genetic code in two manners: having more than one tRNA (with a specific anti-codon) for a particular amino acid; and 'wobble' base-pairing, i.e. permitting non-standard base-pairing at the 3rd anti-codon position.
Source: RNAcentral
CGGGGCGUAGCGCAGCCUGGUAGCGCAUCUGCUUUGGGAGCAGAGGGUCGCAGGUUCGAAUCCUGUCGCCCCGACCA